Long non-coding RNA from Apis dorsata (giant honeybee), 839 nucleotides. RefSeq lists it as uncharacterized. Lineage: Eukaryota; Metazoa; Arthropoda; Insecta; Hymenoptera; Apidae. The record is from RefSeq and is a predicted model, not a curated record. The transcript is spliced from 2 exons.
CGAACAAAAUUUAAGGUAGUCUGUGAGCAGGCGAGUGACUAUGCGCUUGCGUGGCCGUCGGAGAAUUCUCUUCCUUUUUUAAUUUUCCUUUUUUUCCUCUCGCUGUUUUUGUUCGCAUUUUCCUUUCCUCUCGUUUCUUCUCUUUUCUUCAUCUUUUUCUUCAGAACAUCGAUUCAAUCUCCGAGGGUCUACAACCUUCUUCCCUGCUUUCCUUUCACCCGAUUCGACAUGUUAAAUUGAAAUCACCGAAAGCAAUUGUUGAGCCAGGCCAAUUUUGGAACUGAUAAUACGAACCUACCCAAAUUGGAUCAGGAAAUACACCGAAGAUUCUUAAGUGAAAUUAAAAUGAAAUUCGUCGAACUGGCAAAACAUUGAAGAAUAUUCUGAUAAUAAUAGCUAUUACUAAACACAAACACCAAUUGAUUCGAAAUGAUAUGAUGACACUAUUCACUGAUAAAACACGGCUGAACUAUUGUUUGACGGAUCGUCAAUAAUGUCGAAAUUGGAAAAGGGAAAGCAAAAAUCAUCUAUUAUUGAGAAUUUGUAAAUAUAUUUAUUUGUAUAUACAAACACAUAUACGUAAUUUAUAUAAAGAGAGAGAUGUAGAGUACUGAUAUUAAAAGUACAACGCUACUCAAGACAUGCUCGGUGAAUGAAAAUUUCUUUCGAAAUUGGCCAGUAGUCGGCGUUGCAGAUCACAUACUAAUGUAUCCAAGAAAUAAUUAUGUACAUCAACAACUUCAACAAAUUCUUUAUUUUCAUAAAAAAGCAAAGAUAUUUUGGGACACAACUGGGAAGAUAUAUUACAAAUAAACAUUUACAAGUUUUAUAGCAGAUAU